RNAcentral lists this ribosomal RNA (110 nucleotides) under Tepidimonas alkaliphilus. Lineage: Bacteria; Pseudomonadati; Pseudomonadota; Betaproteobacteria; Burkholderiales. The record is from RNAcentral.
UGACGACCAUAGCGAGGUGGCUCCACCCCUUCCCAUCCCGAACAGGACCGUGAAACGCCUCUGCGCCGAUGAUAGUGCGGCCUUGCCCGUGCGAAAGUAGGUCAUCGUCA